UCCCUUCCUCCCUUCCUCCCUUCCUCCCUUCCUCCCUUCCUCCCUUCCUCCCUUCCUCCCUUCCUCCCUUCCUUCCUUCCUCCCCCCCCUCCCUUCCUCCCUUCCUUCCUUCCUUCCUUCCUCCCUUCCUCCCUUCCUCCCUUCCUUCCUUCCUCCCCCCCCUCCCUUCCUCCCUUCCUCCCCCCUCACCCCCUCUCUCCCUGCCUUCCCUCUUUCCUUCCCUCCUCCCUUCCUUCCUCUCUUCCUCUUCCAUCCUUCCUCCCUCCCUCUCUUCUUUCCUCCCUUCCUUCAUUCUUCCCUCCCCUUCUUCCAUUUGUUUUAGUUCCUUCCAUUCAGAGAGCAUUGUCUUAUGACAUUACAGAGGACUUUUGCUUCUUCCUGGGAAACUGAGUUCCACAUUUGCAAGGAGGGGGCUGUGGGCAGCAGAAAGGGAAUACUUUUCAUUUGCUCCUACUGAAACUGUCUUAUGAAUCCCAAAAGUUUUAAGCUAGAUGUCAAUCAAAAGGCAGCAGCUUUAUGCCACUUACAUGCCUUCUGAAAGAGAUCUAUGUUUCUUAUAGUGGGGAAACAAACAAACAAACAACUGCCUGAAAUAGAUUUGGGAAUUUUGAAAUGCUGAAUUUAAUAUGUGAAGUCUGUACUGUUUGUUAGCAUUCAGAAUAAAGCGGUCUGAAAUGUCCUGCUGUCACAGCACAAAAUCAAGAGCACCUCUUCAUCUUCCCUCGGGCCAACAAAAGGGGACAGGAUUUUCAGUGAAACCCAGAUGUUGCUGUGAGUAAAUGUGUGCAUUUAUUAACAGAUAAUAGUGGAGGACUGCAAUUUAUAUCUGCAGAAGCUGAAAUAAUUAAGGAGGGUUGGGUAUUAAUGGAUGUAUGUUUUGAACAAUCUCAAAAACUUCUUUGUGUGGAAAAUUAAGAUCCUUGCUGAUAUUGAAAUAUCUCAGAUUGUUGUAAACCCAUGUUUCUAAUAUUUUAACUGGGAAUCACUUUCAUGGUCCGGCACUGCUGAUGCUGCCCCUUCAGAAGCCAGAAAAUGUCAGAUAUCUCAGUAUUUUCAGGAUUGUUUUGUUCCCAUUCAGGCUGACAGACAAAAAGGAGGGUUCUGAGGGAAGCUCUUAUUUCCUCCCUUCCCAUCUCCCUUUGCUCUUGCAAUAGCACCAUUGUACAGCACCGUUAUGCCAAAUUUUUUACAUAGAGACAGACUCGCCUGUCCCACAUUGUCAUUUCGACACUGUUUUUAACAAAGAUGUAUUUUCUGAGGAUCAUGUUUGAGAAUAAAUGGCUUUGGGUCUAGCACUAGUAAAAGAAGAAAAGCAAAUCCAAAGAACCCACUCAUUGAGUUCAGAGUAGCUACAGGGCAAUGCUGCAUCUUGCUUUUUAGGUGAAAUCUGCAAUUUUGUUUAUCCAGAGCAAUCUGUAACAGCUCUAUGGUAAAGCUGCUUUGAGGUUUAGUUUUGAAGUUUACUGCUCCCAGUUUUCAUUUAUUCCAUCAUAAUACAUGCAUAAAACAUUUUUAUUAUGUGGAUAGUAAUUUGCAUGAGCACGAGGACUUUAGCUCAAAUGCUCAUGAACAAGACUGUUCUUCAGUCGGGUCAACUGGAAGUUAUUCUGCUUUACUACAGGGCUUUCAGUUAAUUAAAUUCAAAGAACCUGUUCAACUGCUAAGGCCUGUUAUACUCCAGAUAAGGAAAAAAAUACAUUUUUUCAUCAGUCUCUGGGGACAGACACUGCUGAUGCUCCUCCUGCUGUAGCCACAAUACAGUGGGCCACAAUACAAGUGAAAAGGAGGAAGAAUGUCCUGCCCAAAGUAUUUCAGUGGGACAUACACGUCUGUGAUGAACACAGAAAGGACUAUUCAGAUGCAUUGUGUUAUAUGGAAUGAACUACAUUUCUGAUCUUCUAAUGCAAUUAAUAUUGUGCUCUGCAAGUAAUGUAAUUAACACAGGAAAAGAGGAGUGAACUGCAUUUACAGUAGAAGUGAACUUUACCUAAAAUUAUCAUUUCAGAAAAUUGACUGUUCUUCUAACUGUUGGUAAUUAUUUUUUCCUUUUUUUUCUUGAGUUCCUCUUUAUUUGGAUAGGUAAUAAAAUUAGUUUUGAUCCUGCACACUGAAGGAGAAACCCUAGUGGCCACAUUCUGACUCUACUUGAACUAGUGUAGGAGCUCAUACGGAAAAUUAAGUGAAAAUCAAUUAACAGUUGCCCCGGGCAUUUGAAACAAAUGCCAGGAAUCCCUAAAUGUUUCUCAGUUCUGUAUAAAUCAUAGCUGACAAGUGGUGGUAUCUCUGCUUCCACUGAAAAUUUGCUUUGUUACAGUGAAAAUUCUUUUAUUAUAUAUAGUUGCUGAUGUACAUAUAUAUAUGUAUUAACCGUCUACAUUUUCUCAUGUGCAUCUUCCAUAAAUCUCCUUUUGAGUCUCUUCCAAAGAAACUAACCUAUGCUUUUGAAGAAAAGAUGACUACCUGGUUGAAGAAAAGGAGUAAUGGAGAACACAUUCUUCAAGAUAUUGGAUAGUAUUCACUGCACCAUCAGGAGAUAUCUUUGUUUGGUACAAAGUGCUAAAGCCUUAAAAGACUAAAGCCGAACAAUAAUGAAUAGAACUGAUUUCCCAUCUUUGGAUUCUAGAGUGCUGACAUGGGAGUUUGAAGACGGUGGAAGGAAUCUAUGGACUGUAUUUACUGAUGUAAUUCAAUAAUUAAAGAUAAUUGUACAAUUUCUCUUAAGCUUGUUGAAAUUCAAGUUUUCUUUUGCUUUAGGCACGACCCAAAAAAUGUAAUAAUAUUUACCAUACUACCUAAUUUAUGUAUGUCUUUAAAUAGUUUACAAAGUGAAUUGAUAAUACAAAAAGUACCCAAAAUCAGAGAGAGAAUUUGUACAGAUUUAUACAAAUCCACGAACUUGAAAAGCCUGCCUUUGUCUCAGAACUUCUAUCUUUGUUUCAAAGAGAGAAACUGGUACAUUACGUAGAUAGGAGAAAAGGAACUGAAGGGUAUAGAUAAAGGAGAAAUGAGCUUAAAGCCUAAGGAAGAGGAAAAAAAUAUAUAAUACAAUCGGAGUGAUCAGAGAUAAAGAACAAGAAAAAAUCAUCAAGAGAUUUUUCUUGAAAGAGGAGGUAGAAUGGAGAUGUAUUUUGUAGGCUACUCUGUUGGAUUAAAGAAGGCCUGAAAUGAAAAGGUAUGUGCAACAAAGGCGUGAGGCAGAUGGAAGGCUUCUCUUCUUAUUUCCUAAGGCUGAGGGCUUCCAGUCCUUUUUGCAUUUGGCUAAUUGCAAAGUCUGCAAUCUCAAAGGGUCACAAUCAUUUUCAGCUUUUGCUGGUGAGAGACACAAAGCAGACAACACUGCACGUUGCUCCUGCUAUAAUAAGAUGUCAUUUCAUCAGGAGGAGUAGACAAAAGGAUAGAUUUUCCUCUUUCCUCUUUUCCUCUGUUUUGCUUUGGGAUAUAACAUUCAGUUUCUCUCUCCAGUUUCCUACAACAUCACAAGGCCAGUUUUUGCUUUGAACUUCAGUAAUAUCAAGUACCUUCCAUGUAAAUGGUGCUUGAGAUAUAAGCGUAUUGCAUGGCCUCUGAGAAACCAAGACCACAUGGAAACUGUUCCCCCCCAAUUUCUGCCAAUAACAUCAGAUUUUGCAUUGCUUCCCCAACAAGAACUGCCCUGUAUCAGAGGCUAGCUUUGUGCAGGGGCUGAUGGUUCUGUAUAGUUUGUGUUUGUGAGCCAUCAAAGGCUUUGAGUGGGAGAGAGGAAACGAUGAAGGAAACCUGGAAUCUGUGCCCAUACUGUUGCAACCUUUCUGAGUUUACUUUAAGAAUCUUUAUCCAGCUCUUCAUCUUUUCACUUUGAUCACUGUAACAUCUCUUCACCUUGGUUUCUAGCUUUUUCCUUUCCCCACACCAUCAAUCUGCACAGAUGCUGCUUUUUCCAGUCAGAGCCUCUUUUGGCAUUUUUGCACUUUACCUCCAUCUUAUUUCUGAACUUCUGUUUCUCUUGUUGUCCCUCGGUGACUGUGUUUUUGCAUGCUGUAGAGAUACUCAAUGCUUUUUUUUUCUGUGCCAUGUCCUCAUUCUAUUCUAUGACCUCUUUUGUGCUGCCUGUACUCCAGGAGUGCUGAGACAAACAGGCUGGGACAGAACACAUCUCUGUGCUCUUCCUGGGAGCACAUUUUAUUCCAGAAAAUUUGUUCUGCUGGUCUCACCUAUAUUUCUUCAAUUGUUUAAUAUUAAGCACUUAUCCAGCAGCGUGAAUUACAAUUAUCAUGAAUUAUACAACAUGGCAGUUUCUGCCCUGCUUUGCUCUCAUUUACAUAACUGCUAGACUGUAAUCACAUUUUGUCUUCCAGACAGAAAUCUUCCAGACUUCUCCCAGGUUUAAUUGGAGGUGCUUUGUAAACCUUUGAUGGUUAAGGACACCAGAUUUUGGAGUGAAAUGCUGGUGUAUGUAUACCAUUUUCAGUUUUAUAAGAUUUAGACCUGACUUCAUGGCCACUCAUUGCAUCUUCCUGUUGGUGAGGGUUAUGGAUAAGGUGUGGGUAGUUAAAGAAGAGCAAAUGAAGCAUGCUAGUUCAUAGAGUUGGGGGAAGAAGCUGGUGCAAUUGUGAUUUUUCUUUUUGCAAGCAUCGUAGAGGCUGGCUUUCAGAUAAUGUAGAUGUGUGAGGAUGUGUUUUGUCUCAGGAAUCAAGCUGGAGUCCAAGUCUGACAUUCAUUACUGUGCUGUGCAUUACCACAACUCUAGAAAAUAUUCUUCCAGCAAUUUAAAUUUAAUAUUUCACAGUCACUUUCAAACAUCAUCAGGCUGGGUCAGUACUUUCCUUUUUGUCUUUAAGUUGUAAAAAUUUUAUCUUCUCUACCUAAUAAAACACAUGCUGCACUCAAAAAUCUCUCAUUCCUUCUUGCAAAGGUGACAUAGCGAAGCUGUACAUAUACCACUCUUGGUAUCAAAUGUAAUUAUUGAUGUAAGGAACGUAUCAGCCCUGGCCUGUGUGAUGCUGCUAUUUCAUCUGCAGGCAUCCUUCUCCAAGCCAUAUAAACACACUGCUCCAGUGUUGUGCUUUCUUCAGCCCUUAGUUGACUGUAUAACAUUUUUGAAUGAGUUGUGUUUUGUACAUAGCCCGUGAAAUCAGUUUGUGCAGCAAUUGGUUGCUUUCCAGAAGAGUGCUGUAUGAGUGUAAGUCAUUAAUGUCGUCAUUAUCCAAGGAAAAGGAUGAAAAUAUGCAGAUAUAUUUCUUAGUGUAGAUGUAAUUAUAGCAUUUUGCAAGACUAUUUAAAUAGUACUUAUUUGGCAUAGUGGUUGCUAUUUAGUUUUAAGCAAGAUGAAAGGUAGAUCAUUUUUGCUUAUUUUUGUUCCAUUUUAAUGCAGUGCUAUUAAACUAAGCAAAUUUCAGAUUGGAGAGAGGGAAGUAAUAGGAUGAUUUGAAAAACAGCAAUGAAAGAGAAUGAAAAAUGAAAAUAAUUGUUGUUUUUUAGAGAUAAAAUUAACGUCGCAAACAGCAGUAAAACCAUAACUGCCUCUAACUUUUUCAUCUGCUUCUAUCUUUUUCAUCUUGAGAUCCCAGAAGCUUGAAAGCACAAAAGAAACAGCUUGUGGAAAAUCUGUGAAGUCCAUCUAUUUCUACAAUAGGAUUAUUCAUCACCACAUGUUUUCCCCAUCUGGAAGUAAAGGGACAAAAUGCUGAAACCACCACCGUCUCACUUGCAAAUUGCUCCACAGUCUAACCAGUCAUGCUAUUGAGAAGAUAUGCCUGCAGUUCAACCCAAAUUGUCUGUAAUCAUGUUGCUUCCUUUCCCUUGUUAUCCUGAGUAGUUCCUCCCCACCCAUAUGUUUAACCUCUCUGAAAUAUUUGUGGAUGGCAAUCAGAUCCCUCUGAGUCACUGCUUAGCUAAGCUGUAUGCAUUUUCAGCAUCCUUCUUUUCUUGUGUAAAUCUUCUCAGAUAUUUAACCAUUUUUCUCCACUUUCCUGUGAAAUCCUCAGCAUUCACUGAAGACGUUAGAAUGAUUACCCCUGGCUGAACAUGGGAACGGAACAUGAGCCUUACACAGAUGGUCCCCUUAGUGGCCUGGGUUCAAGUGCAGUGGGUUGAGGUGCUCAAACACUCCUUUACCACGCUUGGAACUCCUGCUCUAUAAAUCAGGGCUAUACAGUCUGGGGAGUACUGGAACUGUACAGUUGGGGGAAAGUCCCAGCUUUGCUCCACCUGGACUGUGACCACAAUGGAAAAUUUUCUGGUUAAAGUCAAUUAUUUUGCUGCCGAAAGGUAAGGCUUCUACAGCGGCCUGUGUGUGGCUGGGGCUAUGCUACGAACAGUUCUUAGCUACAAAGAGAGGUAAAGUUCUCACUCUGUACAGCCAUGUCCACACUCUUACUAGCUGCAGCAUAGUCCAACUUAAUCACAUGGAGCAGUGCAAACAGUGUGAAGGAAUACCAUCUUCCAGAUUUCAGAGGUAAAACCAAUGCUUAGAUUAUUGGAUUGACCAAGCAUGAUAAUUAGACACACGGAGUUUUCUAAUUUUCCACUUAUUUACCACUGCAAUUUGGAAAAACAGUUGGGAAAUGUGAAACAUUCCAUGGGAUGGGAUGUUUGUAGUAUCUUUCCUCAGAAGAACGUGUGUAACAUGGUGUGUUUUAAUAAAUACUGCAGUCAGGGAACUGACUCUUGGCCAAAGCAGGAGCCUGGGAAGACAGAAAUAUUUGCAGCUGGUCAGUGCUUUCCACCUCUCCCUUCCCACUGAGGCCAGCGACCAAAAAGCCAUCCAUCCUGAGUGCUAAGGCGUGCUGGCCUCCCUGCCUACUUUCUAUCAACAGUUUUGACAGGUCCUCACUGAUUGUUGUUAUGAAAUCAAAUCUAUAUUUACAGCCAGAAAAUGCCUGUCAAAAUAUAUCUUUAACAACCUGAAAUUUAAUUCUUCAGCCGUCUCUAUAGUAGGCAUGUCCAUUACAGGAAAUCUUUCCUUCCUCUUUCCAUUAAAAUAUUUUCAAUUUGGCAUGCCAAAAAAGCUGUAUCUCAAAGAGGAAAAAAAAAAUAGUCUUUAGUAGAGCAAGAAGAUUUACAAAAUCAUUUAUUACCUUUGGUUUCCAAACUAAUCUUAGAAUGAGAGAGAGUAGUGCUAAAAUGCCUAAGCAAAGUGGGGAGAUCAUAGGACCACAUAACCUACUCAGGCUUAAAUAAUAGUAGCAGUAAUAAUAGUAGUAAUAAUAAUAGUAGCAAUAAUAAUAAUAGUAAUAAUAAUAAUAAUGGUAAUAAAAUAGAUGAGCUAAGUGAUUUGAUAUCUGAGCUUAUUAUGUGACAAGUGAUUGAAACUACAUAAGAGGAAAAGGACUGUAUGAAAAAUUAAAACUGGCAACACUGGUAAGACUGUGUGUCAGGAGAAGUAAUUGCAGGAAACUUCUGCAGUGCACAUUAAGACCACCCAGCUCCUCUGUGCUGGCAAGGUAGCAGAAUCUGAUAAGCUACUUGAAGAACACAUUACUGAAAAUCAGCAUGUCUAUUUAAUUGGCCUACAUUUCAUAGAGUUCAUAGCUCUCAUAAGAAGAGCUAAUGUCUCUCGUGUUUCUGCUUUGUUUAUAUCAGGAACUGCAGCCAAGUUCUUGCUUCUAGCUUUGCUUAGAGUUUCUCAUGGAUCUGGGGAGAGUGUCCUGCCAGUGACAGAUUGAGACUGAGUGUAAUUGGGGAUGCAGGAAGCUCUGUUGCUGUGUUUUGCACAUGUUCAACAAACUCAGCUUCCUUCUUGCGGUGAGGAGUACUCAAGAUGUGGUCUUAUCAGUGUCAAGCAUUGAGGGACAAGCAGAACAAUUCAAAGGCUAUGACUAUCCUUGAGACCUUGUAGCACCUGCACCUACAGAAACUGUCCACAGAGGCCUUACCGGACCAUGUUUUAUUGUCAUUGUUUCUGGGCAAAGGUUUUAUAAUGCAGCAGUGGAGUCCAUCUUGCUGAAGCAAUGGAGACAGAUAGUGAUGGAGCUGCCAGAACAACCUGUAAAUUAUCUGCCCUAAAAUCCUCAAAGAGCACUUUGUGCUGAAAAGAAGGCUGUUCAAGGCAGGAGGGGAAGAAUUUGAUCUUGCCUACAUUUGUUGUACAGGAACAGAAAGGAGGAGUGCUUUAUUCAUCAAGUGAACACAGCACUUUAAAAAUUCAACUAAGUCAAUAUAGGAAUACGUUUAAAAUGUAUUCACCUUCAGAGAGAGAUUUCCUGGACUGACAGAACUGCCAAUGGGUAUGAGUUAUUGCUUAGCAAAAGUUGCUGCAAAGGAUGCUGUACCCAUCACCUCUGUGAAGGGGUCUUAUGUGGAACAAGCUGCUAAGAAAGUUAUGGCCAACAGAAGUUCUGCCUUUGACUGGUGCUUUGGUAACUACCUGUGGGGAUAGUCUGCUGUUAUUCUAUUUUUCUUCCUUCUUUGUCAGAGAAAAUGGCAGUCUGGUGACAGUGUUCUUGAGAAUAGCAACUUCAUUCUACCAGGUUCUGCUGGUAGAGUAGAAGUGGAAAGUCCUGCCUGAGAAUGUGCAUUGUAGAAUCACUGCUCCCAAAGCUGGCAGCUCUGCCAAAACCCAGAACAUGAGUGCUUUGGGGAUGCCCUGGUAGAAACUUAGGUCAGUGCUGGCCUUGGGCCAUCCAGAGUAAGAUGUGAACUGCCUGGACUACGGCAUUACUGGGCAGAAAGAGUGUCUGAUCCCUUCAUGAUUUCAACUUCAGAUUUGCACACCUUAUAUUUACCUCUGAGUACUUUGUAGCACAGUUUGAUAUUUAUGCUUUGACUUUAAUUCAGAAAGAAUCUGGAGAGGAAUAAGAGAGAGGCUAAAAAUGUGCAAGACAAAAAAUACAUGUGUGAUUUCUGAAAUCUGACAGUGUUUAGGAGGGGAAAUAGAAGCUACACUGUUGAUUAUUUUACUUUAUUCUCCCAAUUGAAUGUGAUUUUUUUUGUUUUGUUAUUUUUUAUUUUUCUUUCUAUGCUAUGUAUGGAUGAUACCAGGCCAGUUCCUACCCAAAGGCUUGCUUAAGUGCUUUCAAUCUUACUUGCUUACCUUGCAUCUACAGUAACAAGGAUUCAGUUGUGAGUAAGCCUCAGCAUGUUACUUUAGUUCAAAUGAUUUCUAACUGGAAUAUCAGUGAAUCUUUACCUUCAGGUCAUCCGUGCUCUUUUGUAAGAAUGAAUUUCAGUAGCUUAAAAAUGCUCAGAGUUUGUGAAUGACAAUGAUAACUCACUGCUAUGAAACUUCCUGUAAGUGUGCACCCAUCUCCCUAAAUAAGUAGAAAUGGGUUUCAAAUAACAGGCUCUUCUGUUUAUAAGAGUGGUAAUUAGAAGUGCAUUAAGGAAACCCUCAUUUCAGAAGCAGGCGUAUUAUAUCUAUGAAGUUUCCUGCUUUUUUCCUUUUCUAUAUAUGUUUGAGGCUCCUGAUUGUCUAAUGAGAUUAGGGUAAAUUUGAAAUUAAUUGUAUCUUGUAUAUGUUUUUGAAAUAACAGGCAUAAAGCUACAUUAACUUGUUUCCAUUUGUGAAAGCAGCCUGUUUUCCUUGCACACAGCCGUGAAAGGAUGGAGUCCCAGCUUCCUUGCUUGGGUGCAGUGUGUUCUUGUAACUCAUUCUAAGAAAUGGAGCUGACGGGGAGCCAGACCUGAGGACAGCCAAACAGUAGACCUACA
RNAcentral lists this long non-coding RNA (9627 nucleotides) under Gallus gallus (chicken). RNAcentral's name for it is "lncRNA (ENSGALG00010013865.1)". Lineage: Eukaryota; Metazoa; Chordata; Aves; Galliformes; Phasianidae. The record is from RNAcentral.